Long non-coding RNA from Humulus lupulus (European hop), 387 nucleotides. RefSeq lists it as uncharacterized. NCBI's taxonomy places the organism in Eukaryota, Viridiplantae, Streptophyta, Magnoliopsida, Rosales, Cannabaceae. The transcript is spliced from 3 exons. The record is from RefSeq and is a predicted model, not a curated record.
AAAGGCAUGGAGAGGACACAAGUACAAGCUUCACACUUAUUUCAAGGAGAUUGGAGGAGAAAGAGAUGUUGAGUUAGCUAAGAGGAAGCCCCAUCCAGAGUUAAAGGUUAAUUAACAUUGAGAUUGGGAGAUUUUAUGUGAUUAUUGGACGUCAGAGAAAUUUCAGGAUUGGUCAACAAAGAACACAGAGAGUCGAUCAAAGAGAAAGUGGGGAUCAAGAAAUGGGUCAGUUUCCACUCCACGACAUCACAUUCGUAGAGGAGUUGUGUUGACAGCACCCAGUGGUCAAAUUGAGACAUGGAGACUGAAGCAUUGUGAUCCUCACAAUGGAUGGAUAGCCCCAGAGCUUGAGGAGAUCUAUGAUCGUAUGAUGACUUUACGAAAUGA